CCUACGGGACGCACCAGUGGGGAAUAUUGCACAAUGGGCGCAAGCCUGAUGCAGCCAUGCCGCGUGUAUGAAGAAGGCCUUCGGGUUGUAAAGUACUUUCAGCGGGGAGGAAGGUGUUGUGGUUAAUAACCACAGCAAUUGACGUUACCCGCAGAAGAAGCACCGGCUAACUCCGUGCCAGCAGCCGCGGUAAUACGGAGGGUGCAAGCGUUGAUCGGAAUUACUGGGCGUAAAGCGCACGCGGGCGGUCUGUCAAGUCGGAUGUGAAAUCCCCGGGCUCAACCUGGGAGCUGCAUUCGAAACUGGCAGGCUAGAGUCUUGUAGGGGGGGGUAGGAUUCCAGGUGUAGCGGUGAAAUGCGUAGAGAUCUGGAGGAAUACCGGUGGCGAAGGCGGCCCCCUGGACAAAGACUGACGCUCAGGUGCGAAAGCGUGGGGAGCAAACAGGAUUAGAUACCCCAGUAGUC
This 465-nucleotide ribosomal RNA is filed under the name uncultured bacterium. RNAcentral's name for it is "bacterial SSU rRNA". It matches the Rfam family "Bacterial small subunit ribosomal RNA", at positions 338 to 795 of the family's 1533-position model. The record is from RNAcentral.